GACGUAGGGCGCGAGCGUUGUCCGGAUUUAUUGGGCGUAAAGAGCUCGUAGGCGGCUUAGUAAGUCGGGUGUGAAACCUCCAGGCUCAACCUGGAGACGCCACCCGAUACUGCUGUGGCUAGAGUCCGGUAGGGGAGCGUGGAAUUCCUGGUGUAGCGGUGAAAUGCGCAGAUAUCAGGAGGAACACCAGCGGCGAAGGCGGCGCUCUGGGCCGGUACUGACGCUGAGGAGCGAAAGCGUGGGGAGCAAACAGG
This 254-nucleotide ribosomal RNA is filed under the name uncultured bacterium. RNAcentral's name for it is "partial 16S ribosomal RNA". It matches the Rfam family "Bacterial small subunit ribosomal RNA", at positions 524 to 776 of the family's 1533-position model. The record is from RNAcentral.